Molecule: transfer RNA, 74 nt
Filed under: Gossypium hirsutum (cotton)
Lineage: Eukaryota; Viridiplantae; Streptophyta; Magnoliopsida; Malvales; Malvaceae
Rfam family: tRNA
About the family: Transfer RNA (tRNA) molecules are approximately 80 nucleotides in length. Their secondary structure includes four short double-helical elements and three loops (D, anti-codon, and T loops). Further hydrogen bonds mediate the characteristic L-shaped molecular structure. tRNAs have two regions of fundamental functional importance: the anti-codon, which is responsible for specific mRNA codon recognition, and the 3' end, to which the tRNAs corresponding amino acid is attached (by aminoacyl-tRNA synthetases). tRNAs cope with the degeneracy of the genetic code in two manners: having more than one tRNA (with a specific anti-codon) for a particular amino acid; and 'wobble' base-pairing, i.e. permitting non-standard base-pairing at the 3rd anti-codon position.
Source: Rfam by way of RNAcentral
GGUUUCAUGUUGUAGUUGGUUAUCACGUUAGUCUAACACACUGAAUGUCUCCGGUUCGAGUCCGGCCGACGCCA